RNAcentral lists this microRNA precursor (57 nucleotides) under Heligmosomoides polygyrus. Its description in RNAcentral is "microRNA hpo-mir-10065b precursor (hpo-mir-10065b-1)". Lineage: Eukaryota; Metazoa; Nematoda; Chromadorea; Rhabditida; Heligmosomidae. The record is from miRBase by way of RNAcentral.
UGGAGUACAUCUGAUUCCCACACUAAUGUGAGUUAUGGGAUCUUAUGUACUUUUAUA